AGGUGACUUUUCAGUGUCUGCAAAUGGCGGAAACGAGUGCCACAGAUCUCGCAUGGAUAUGGCUUCUCUCCGGUAUGAAUCAGAACGUGAGCCCGAAGCAUUAAAGAUGUAUGAGAGGCCUACGAAUCCACUCUAAGAAUUUCCUUUUUCCUCGAGGACUGAAAUCUUGUGUGCGGCUUUGAGUUUGUGAGCUUUAAAAGCUGCUUGAGGUUUAUCUCAUGCAACAGAGGAAGUGGUGCGGGAAGAAGAGUGCGUCGGCCCUAACGUUUUGUGUGUACAACAGGAUAUCCGACGCUGGGAGCGUUAGCCUCAUGUCAAGAGGUGAUAUAAAAGAUAGAUUGUCGCUUGUAUUCUUAACAAGUACUGAAACUGUUUUUGUAUUUGUGUUUUUUUUCUUUUGUCUUUUUGUCUUUCAGCACAUCUGCUCUCUUGCUGUAUCGCUGUAGUCCUCUUUUUGGAGUGCAGACGUCUCAUUUCAGCUUGUUGCAUGUAGUAAUAUGGCUCAAAAAAGCAAAACAUUGCUUUUCUGGAACUCGUCCCUUCUCAUACUUGUAGAAAUUCUGUUUACUUAAAGUGUUGGAUUUAUUUAUAGGCAAAAACAUUAAUUGCCAGUUGACUGACAUCUGGAAAACACAGGGAUUUCAUGCUGGGGCAAUGGUAAUUGUUUUCAGAUUUGUUUUAGAGUGUCUUUUUGAUCAAAUUUGUGUGAGAGCAAGUGAGAGAGAAGGAAAGAAGAAGCAGAGGGAGCCAGACACUACUCAUGGGGCCCAUUAGGAAAUUGCCAGUAAGCAAAGUUGCAAAUAAGCUGUCACACAGUACAAAUGAGAUUACCUUUUCAACGUGCCCUGGAACCUGCACACCGGGGGAUGCAGAACCAGUCACGGCAAAACAAGGCACAAUCGUCUGAUUUAUCUCAGCGCUUGAUCUUCUGGUGGUGUUCUUUCUGCCUCUGUUUUUCAUGCAUGGUGUGCAAAACAGUUUACAAAGUGCUUGCAGCACAAGUUAAUCAGUUGUAGACAACCUCUGAAGCGAGUCGACAUAGUGUUUCAAGUCAGGGAUUUCACUUAUAGUCAUCAGUGCUGAUUUUAUACGCAUACAGAGAAACUUAGUUGCAUAUUUCUGUCUAAAUUGUUUACUCCUGCUUUUCACCUUUUGAUCAGCCUGUUGAUGAAUUGAUGAUUUGUUUUCAUUUGUUGAAGAGAUAUAGACGUACUCUGCAGGUGUCUCUUGCAGUAUGGGCAUAUUUAUGUCCCAGGGUUUGAUUUUUAUUACAUUUAAUCCUUUUUUCUUUUUUUGAAAGGUCACAUUAAAGUCACAUUUUUACAGUGCCUUUGUCCCUCUCUCUCUCUCUCUAUUUAGUUGUAAAGUGUAAAAUUAAGUAAUAAAUAAAACAAAGAUUAUAGAUGUUUGUUUUUCAAUAAAAUACUAAUUCAGCCUUUCUACUUCUAAAUUUCAUACAAUAUCUAUCUAUCUGUCUAUCUAUCUAUCUAUCUAUCUAUCU
Molecule: long non-coding RNA, 1501 nt
Organism: Cyprinus carpio (common carp)
Lineage: Eukaryota; Metazoa; Chordata; Actinopteri; Cypriniformes; Cyprinidae
Exons: 3
Source: RefSeq, a predicted model, not a curated record